RNAcentral lists this ribosomal RNA (800 nucleotides) under uncultured bacterium. RNAcentral's name for it is "bacterial SSU rRNA". It matches the Rfam family "Bacterial small subunit ribosomal RNA", at positions 44 to 855 of the family's 1533-position model. The record is from RNAcentral.
GGGGGGUUUCCAUGCAGUCCGACGGACUCAUAUUGAAACCUAGUGAUUUAUGAGUUAGUGGCGGACGGGUGAGUAACGCGUGGAUAACCUGCCGUAUACCGGGGGAUAACACUUAGAAAUAGGUGCUAAUACCGCAUAAGCGCACGGCUCCGCAUGGGGCAGUGUGAAAAACUCCGGUGGUAUACGAUGGAUCCGCGUCUGAUUAGCUAGUUGGCGGGGUAACGGUCCACCAAGGCAGCGAUCAGUAGCCGGCCUGAGAGGGUGGACGGCCACAUUGGGACUGAGACACGGCCCAAACUCCUACGGGAGGCAGCAGUGGGGAAUAUUGCACAAUGGGGGAAACCCUGAUGCAGCGACGCCGCGUGAGUGAAGAAGUAUCUCGGUACGUAAAGCUCUAUCAGCAGGGAAGAAAAUGACGGUACCUGACUAAGAAGCCCCGGCUAACUACGUGCCAGCAGCCGCGGUAAUACGUAGGGGGCAAGCGUUAUCCGGAUUUACUGGGUGUAAAGGGAGCGUAGACGGCUGUGCAAGUCUGAAGUGAAAUGCCGGGGCUCAACCCCGGAACUGCUUUGGAAACUGUACAGCUAGAGUGCAGGAGGGGUGAGCGGAAUUCCUAGUGUAGCGGUGAAAUGCGUAGAUAUUAGGAGGAACACCGGUGGCGAAGGCGGCUCACUGGACUGUAACUGACGUUGAGGCUCGAAAGCGUGGGGAGCAAACAGGAUUAGAUACCCUGGUAGUCCACGCCGUAAACGAUGAUUACUAGGUGUCGGGGGGCCAAGGCCCUUCGGUGCCGGCGCAAA